Molecule: ribosomal RNA, 840 nt
Filed under: uncultured bacterium
Lineage: Bacteria
Description: bacterial SSU rRNA
Rfam family: Bacterial small subunit ribosomal RNA
Source: RNAcentral
AGUCGAGCGGUAGCACAAGGGAGCUUGCUCCCUGGGUGACGAGCGGCGGACGGGUGAGUAAUGUCUGGGAAACUGCCUGAUGGAGGGGGAUAACUACUGGAAACGGUAGCUAAUACCGCAUAACGUCGCAAGACCAAAGAGGGGGACCUUCGGGCCUCUUGCCAUCAGAUGUGCCCAGAUGGGAUUAGCUAGUAGGUGGGGUAAUGGCUCACCUAGGCGACGAUCCCUAGCUGGUCUGAGAGGAUGACCAGCCACACUGGAACUGAGACACGGUCCAGACUCCUACGGGAGGCAGCAGUGGGGAAUAUUGCACAAUGGGCGCAAGCCUGAUGCAGCCAUGCCGCGUGUGUGAAGAAGGCCUUCGGGUUGUAAAGCACUUUCAGCGAGGAGGAAGGUGGUGAGCUUAAUACGUUCAUCAAUUGACGUUACUCGCAGAAGAAGCACCGGCUAACUCCGUGCCAGCAGCCGCGGUAAUACGGAGGGUGCAAGCGUUAAUCGGAAUUACUGGGCGUAGAGCGCACGCAGGCGGUUUGUUAAGUCAGAUGUGAAAUCCCCGGGCUCAACCUGGGAACUGCAUUUGAAACUGGCAAGCUAGAGUCUCGUAGAGGGGGGUAGAAUUCCAGGUGUAGCGGUGAAAUGCGUAGAGAUCUGGAGGAAUACCGGUGGCGAAGGCGGCCCCCUGGACGAAGACUGACGCUCAUGUGCGAAAGCGUGGGGAGCAAACAGGAUUAGAUACUCCUGGUAGUCCACGCUGUAAACGAUGUCGAUUUGGGAGGUUGUGCUCUUGAGGCGUGCUUUCCGGGAGCUAACGCGUUAAAUCGACCGCCCUGGGGAGUACGG